AGAGUUUGAUCCUGGCUCAGGAUGAACGCUAGCGGCAGGCCUAAUACAUGCAAGUCGAGGGGCAGCGGGGGUAGCAAUACCUGCCGGCGACCGGCAAACGGGUGCGGAACACGUACGCAACCUUCCUUUAAGCGGGGAAUAGCCCAGAGAAAUUUGGAUUAAUACCCCAUAAUAAUAUUUGGUGGCAUCAUCGGAUAUUUAAAGAUUUAUCACUUAGAGAUGGGCGUGCGUCUGAUUAGGUAGUUGGUGAGGUAACGGCUCACCAAGCCGACGAUCAGUAACUGGCGUGAGAGCGCGACCAGUCACACGGGCACUGAGACACGGGCCCGACUCCUACGGGAGGCAGCAGUAAGGAAUAUUGGUCAAUGGACGGAAGUCUGAACCAGCCAUGCCGCGUGGAGGAUGACGGCCCUCUGGGUUGUAAACUUCUUUUAUCUGGGACGAAACACUUCUUUUCUAAGGAGCUUGACGGUACCAGGUGAAUAAGCACCGGCUAACUCCGUGCCAGCCGCCGCGGUAAUUC
Molecule: ribosomal RNA, 523 nt
Filed under: uncultured bacterium
Lineage: Bacteria
Description: bacterial SSU rRNA
Rfam family: Bacterial small subunit ribosomal RNA
Source: RNAcentral